CGAUUCUGGCUCAGGAUGAACGCUAGCGGCAGGCUAACACAUGCAAGUCGAGGGGCAGCGCGGGUAGCAAUACCUGGCGGCGACCGGCGAAAGGGUGAGUAACGCGUGAGCAACAUGCCCGAUACUGGGGAUAGUCGAUGGAAACGUCGCGUAAUACCCCCGUAACACAUUGGUCCGCAUGAACCUAUGUUGAAAGAUUCAUUGGUAUCGGAUUGGCUCGCGUGCCAUUAGGUAGACGGCGGGGUAACGGCCCACCGUGCCGACGAUGGCGUAGGGGUUCUGAGAGGAACGGUCCCCCACAUUGGAACUGAGACACGGUCCAGACUCCUACGGGAGGCAGCAGUGAGGAAUAUUGGACAAUGGCCGGAAGGCUGAUCCAGCCAUGCCGCGUGGCGGGAAAAGGACCGGCCCUAGUGGGUUGUAAGCCGUCUUUUGCGGGGGAGCAAUAAGGUCCACGUGUGGACUGAUGAGAGUACCCUGCGAAUAAGCAUCGGCUAACUCCGUGCCAGCCGCUGC
RNAcentral lists this ribosomal RNA (516 nucleotides) under uncultured bacterium. Its description in RNAcentral is "bacterial SSU rRNA". It matches the Rfam family "Bacterial small subunit ribosomal RNA", at positions 14 to 518 of the family's 1533-position model. The record is from RNAcentral.